RNAcentral lists this unclassified non-coding RNA (240 nucleotides) under soil metagenome. RNAcentral's name for it is "partial contains 5.8S ribosomal RNA, internal transcribed spacer 2, and large subunit ribosomal RNA". The record is from RNAcentral.
AACGAGGCCGACCUGCGGCUGAGUUACCUGCGGAAGGAUCAUUACAACAAGGUUCCCUGGCCCUCGAAGCUUCGGCGGAGGGGCGCUACAGCCUGACUUUAUACCCACCCUUUGCCUAUGUGUACCCCUAUUGCUUCCCUCGGCGGGUUCGCCCGCCGACAGGAACCAACUAAACCCUUUGCAUUAUACAUUUAACACUUCCGAUACAAAACUAAAUUAUUACAACUUUUAACAACGGAU